Long non-coding RNA from Sebastes umbrosus (honeycomb rockfish), 1069 nucleotides. RefSeq lists it as uncharacterized. The record is from RefSeq and is a predicted model, not a curated record. Lineage: Eukaryota; Metazoa; Chordata; Actinopteri; Perciformes; Sebastidae. The transcript is spliced from 5 exons.
AUUUCCAAUUACAAGACAAAGGAUGAAGCCAUUUUUAGCUUGUUGUCAUAUUGUUGUUUCCCAGGGAGAAUGAUGAUGUAUUGAUGGUAGCAAAAGUUGUAGCUCUUGUAAAAUAAGGAUCUGUGACAAAAACGGACAGUGACUGCAUCAUCACAAACACGACAGUCCAUGUGAAACUGGAUAAUAAUUGACUUUAAGGAUGUUCCACAUAAUAGAGUCGGUGUCACCUUUUGGCCAAACUACAAAAAUGAUGAAAGAGUCGACAGGGCAGUAAAGGAAAGCUGAGGAGCCUGGACCUGACUGGCAAAGCUACGAUGUCAGAGUUGUUAAGUCAUGUGAUCAUUACUUUGAGGCACGUCAUCUCUUAAAAAAAUCCCUGACGUGCAACACGUCAGAUUUACAGUCAGAAGAGGAAGAGGAGGAAGUUCAAUCAAAGAGAAGGCCAAAGCCGAUUCAUUUCUUUGGGGACUCCGAUGAUGACAGUGUGGAUGAAAGUCCUCUAUAAAAGAGAGCCAGAGGUCCAGCCAAACCCUCACCACAGCCACCAGCUCCUAUUAUCCCACCCCCACCAGCAGUAGAGCAAACCCCUUCUUCAAGCCAGGUCUACAGACCUACCUGGCUAGGGGGAAGGUGUGGAUCAGACACCAUGACCUGUUCGGAUGCCGUGAGAAAGAGUGCCGUCUCCCGUGCCGCCACUGAUGCUGACAUUUCAAAACACGCAAUACGGUGGUUCAACCUUGCCGCAGAUCGGGGGAGCUCGAGGAAGCGUGCCACUGUCGGCAUCCCUGCUGAGCCGACCGGUAUUUAACCCUCUGACUGUCUUUCAGAGGCUCUAGUAGGUUCAGGUUUAAGGCUAGAGUCAUGAGCUCCACAUCAACAACAGCCAAUCACAUUUGUUGCCUCCGUUGUUUUCAUACAGUUGAAUUUGCUGAUCCUCAUCAUCCUGUUAACCCUCUGAGACCCAACUUUACUGUCUUUCUGAGGCUGUAGCAGGUUCAGUUUUAGAGCUACAUAUAUCAUAUGAAACUAGAAAAACCUAAGGAAUCUAUUGGUACCAACCAUGUCAUGC